GGAGGGGGACCCGCUCCGGAAGGCGCUGUUUGAAGCCUCUCGGUCUUUGAAGUCUGGAAGACGUCUGCAGAGGACCCUUUUGGCAGCACAACUGUUACGCUAGGGAGUUGGUUGGAGAUUUUUUGUUCCUUAAAAGAUCUUAAAGAACUGGCGAUUUUUUUUUAAACAAACACAAAAACAAAAAAGGGACCAUUGCAACUUUUUUAUUUUAUUUUAUUUUUUUGGAGGGAGAAAACUGAUGUCUUCUAUGCAUCCGAUUCUUAACAAAACUGCAGGGAGCUUGAAAAAAUGCAGACUGUACAAACGCUUACAAAAAAAAAAACUGUGAACUGACUUAAGAUCAGAGUUUACUUUUCAGAUCAAAUUGUUUAUGGUUUUACAAAUGUGAUUUCUACUUGCCAACUUUUUUUUUGUAACUUGUUCCCUUAUACCUCCUUGAUUGAAUACCAGACAGCCUAGACCUCAGUACAAAAGGUAUUGAAACAUUUUUGAUACAUAACAGACCUCAGUCUUUUUUAAAAAUUAAUAUAUUUUCAGGCGUAUUUUUGUACAGUGAAAAGGGAACAUUCUUGCUGUGUUUUUUCAGUAAGACUUUCAGGCACUUCUUCCCUUUUGAUUUCUUUUUUUUUCCCCUCUUUUUUAGCAUGCAAGUAUGUUGGUACGUUAUGUCCUGGUUUAAAAAGGAUUAAAAUUUUAAAAUAAUCCUUGCAUCUAAAGGCCUUGUGGUUAAAAAAAAGCAAACUUUUUUUUGUACAGCUAUAGUAGAGAUUUGUUCAAUAUUUGUAGGUAAAGAUUUAUUGAAAAUGGUGAUAUAGACCUCAGAGCUGUUAUCUUAGUUUAAAGAUUGUAUAUGUACUGUACUAUAGUAGGACUUUAUGUAUCUCAUACGCUGUGAUAUGUGGAUGGGGCCCCAGAAGGAAGGUUUGAAACUGGAUUCUCGAUUAUUAGCAAAAAAGAAAAAAGAAGGCACAUAGUUUAAAAAGUUUCUCAUUUUGUGCAAUAUAAUCUAAAUAAAGUACAGACCAUCUGCAUAUUUUGUAGCAAAUGGUGGCAAAGCAGACUCAAUGCACUGUCGACAUCCUUGCCUGUUUUUUUUUUUUUUUUUUUUUGUGCUGGAAGUCUGUAUCUUGACAAUUGUAAUAAAUCAGCUGGAACUGAUAGAAACUCGCAUCGCCAAUAGUCUCUAUGGAAGUCAAAUUGGAGGUCCUGUUAUCGCAGCUCAUUCAGUGAGGAGGCUGUUGUGUGCGCGGGUGGGAGGUGGCGGAAGAGAAUUCUGCAGUUAGAGGGCUUAGGCUGAAAAGUGCUCCAUUGGCAGGCCGAUUUUUUUUUCCUCUUCUUCGGUGGCUAGUUAUUACAAAUGGGGGAGGAGGAUUCUUUCUCUUUCCCCCCCAUUUCCUUUCUCACCUCCUCCUCCUCCUCCGCUCCCGCCCUUCUCUCCCCACCCAUCCUGGCCGGCGGGCGGGCGGCGCGGAGAGGCUCGGGGCGCUGGCCGGGGAGGGGCGGGCUUGACGAGGACCGGGUUGCCCGUGCGCGGUCGGUGUCCUGCGCUCGCCAAGGGUGUGCGUGCGUUCCCUGCGCGGGGCUGCGUCUGGGCUGCGCGUCGCGGUGGCAGCCGCCCUCGGACAGUGAGCGCUCGGAUCCCUACCGCUAUCCCUUGGAGGGUGAGGACAGCCGUUUCCAGUUUGGAAUUUUUUUUUUUUUUUUGACGCUGCAUCUUCGCCUGUGCGCAGAGGUAGUUGCUGGUGGGGAGCGCGGCCACAGUUCUUGACCUCAAGCGGUGACGGGAACAGGGGAGAGGGUGUUGGUGCCUGUCUCUUCCUCUUGCCCCCGCGCCGGGUAGCUCGGCCUGCGAUGGGGAUGGAGGACGGCUGCGGGGUGCCGGGCAUGGCUGGGCAGAGGCUGCGAGCAGGCGGGAGGCUGAGGAAGGAGGGCGCGACGGGUCGGCCCCGAGCGGCAGGGGAAUAUGGCACGGCCCCUGUGCUAUCCGAGCCGUGGCCACCAGGGUGGGGGUGCAGGGGGGCCGUCCAGGGCGCCUGGGCGGCAGCCCGGGACACCAAGGCAGACCCCUGCGCCCCCGGACCCCUGCGCCCCGCUCUCCUCGCCCGGCCGCAGCGUGCGCCUGGGCGCACCCCGCCCCGGGCCCUGGAGGCGCGCGGGGACGCCCGCGCUGGUGCCUCGAGGCCCGUGGGGUGGGGAGAGGAGCCGCCGGGCUGCGGGGCGGGAGGAAGAAAACAAAUCCGGGUAGAGGCUCCCGCCGAAUCCGCGCACCCGGCGCCCUCUCUUGCGCUCUGGCUCCUAGGCCGCCCCGGAACUUGCCUCCGGGCAGGCAGCUUCGGGGAAGGUGGCUAGGUUUCUUGAUUGUUCUCUUCCUCCUCCAUCUGCCUCCUUGGGGUUCGGGCGGCGGCGCGGGCGCGACCCCAUCCGGCGCGCGCUCCCUGCUUGCUAGGGGAUCGUUUGCCCGGCCAGUCCAGCCUCUUCUCCCCUACUCUCAUGUUCCCGGGCUCGGCCUGUGUCUUCGAGCCCUCGCGGCAGACCCUGGCUGGCAAGCGCGGCCGGGCACGCGCGCCCCUGGCGCUGGCCCCCUUCCGUGCUGUCCACCCCUCUUUCCCUGGGGGCCGCGCUGACGGGGGCGGGGAGGCCGCAGGGGGCCCAGGGCGCCAGCCAUCGAGCUUAACCUCUCCGAGCUGCGGAGCCUGCAAUGAGUGAGGGUUUUAGUGGCUAAUAGAAACUCGGUGCAAAUCACCAAGAUUCUUCUUUUAACCUACUGAAAUGAUUUACCAAGAUUUGGGCUCCAUUUUUACUGAGAUUUGGCGAGACCAAAUGGACGCGUGCGUACAUUACCAGCAGCCGCUAGGCCGAAGGGCCCCAGCACCCUUCCUGCCUCCUCUCCCACUUUCCUUUGCCGCUCUGGCCUCCCCCAGCCUCCCUCCCGCUCCGGGCGAGCCUCCACCCCAGCCCCCACCCCUGGGAUGCGAAGCCAGCAAGCUUUUGCUGCAGAUGGACAAAUUUCUUUUCUAUGGCUUUUUCCUUUCGAUGAACCAUCAGAUUCCAGUAGUACAUUUGGGAAAAGAAAGGGCUGAUGGUGUUAACAUGGUUCUCAAUAUAGAACUGGAUUUCUGGAGUUGUUUACUUUUUUUUUUUUUUUUUUCCAAAAGAUGGACUAAUGUAGUCAUUGGUCAGACUUUUUAGCCACGAAUAAUUGAACCAGCGGUUUACAAUUGUCAAUUCUUUGUGCUGGUGAUUUUACGUGGCGGCCCUCUGCUGCAGUCCUAAAACUUGUUGAAAACACAAAUUCAUUUAUAAGACUGAGUCUAUGUAUUUUGAAAAUCUGAAAACUUUGCAUGUAUUUUAUAUUUUAACCAUAGAUAAAUCUUGGACAUUUUCUGUGGUGAGGUAGAAACUUUUAAGUUAAGGAAAUUAGUGACAGGUAAUAAAUUUGGCCUCAGAAUGGAAACAAAUAGUCAUGAUUAAAAAAAAAAAAAAAGCUAUGUAGCCUAAAUUCUUGAUAGUAAAAUAAGAGAAAAAUAGAUGGUCGGCGAUCUAAAUUAAAAACCUGUUAGAUCUCAGGACUGGCGCCUGAAUGCGCUAUUAACAAUAUUUAAGGCUGUUUUGAUGAAUGCAUUGUGAAAAUCAUUCUUAACGAAUUCUUUAUUGAAUGUCUAAACCAUAAUAUAAUACACAAGGUAUUCUUGCCACUGGAUAGUCUUCAAUAAAAGUUUAAUUGCAUUUUUUUUUUUUUUGGUCUCUUAAGUAAGUCUUAUUUUUAACUAAGCAUUGACAGAAUAUCUUAAAAUGGUAACGUGGGGGUGGGGGUGGGCCCUGAGUGCACUGCAGCCUAGCCAAUGGGUAUCCUGCUGUUUAUAAUUAGUUCACAGACUUUGAUGAUGGUGUUUUGGUAAGAUUUCCAUCUUUAAGAACUUGAACCAGCAUUCUCUUAUUAAUUCUUUAAACUGUGGAAAUAAUCUUCCAGUUCUUACACUCUGAUAUGCAUCCCUUUUAUUAAAAAAAAAACGUAAUGCUAAUAAGAGGCAGUGUAUUUAAACUGUGCUUUGCAAAUAUUGUGUAUGUUAUGAAUGACUACAGUCACAGGGCAAAUUAUUUGUAGAAUGAUUAUCCUUUAGCUAGAAAAAAAUCGUUAACCCUUUUGAGUGGAGAUGUUUCUUUUUAAUGUUAAUCAAGGGGAAGUGAUUUAAAUAUGCACGCAUAUAGCAGUCAGGAUGAUUUAGUUGUUUUUUUGAGAAAGAAAAAGACUCAAAAGACAAGACCUGUUUUUCUCUCUGGGAGUUAAAACUAUAAUCAUUUGAUAUUGGUACAGUACAAUAAAUUUACAUUUGUUUUUCACUUCAGAAUUUAAGUGACUUGCCCAAGGAAUCUGAGAAAUAAAGCAAAUAACUUGCUCUAUUUUAAAGUAGUCAUUCAAUAUAAAUAUAUUAUAUCAAUCUUAACUUUUUUAUUCUCUCAUAUGAUUAAUAAUAUGUAUAUUCUUACUUUUUCUUCUAAUGGGCAUAUGUAUCCUUGUGGACACUUUGGAGAGAGGUUUUCUUGGACUCUCCCAUUUAUAGAAUCUUUAUACUCUUACUGCGUGGUUCCCUGCUUUUAACAGAUUUCUGAGGCAAAUAUAUUUGUGCUUUUUUCUUAUGUAGGAUGACCAGCGAAAAUAGUUUACUGAGUUGUCAAUUUUAUCAGUAAAUAAGAAACUUUCUUUAUUACAGUUUCAGGGAAGAUUUUUUCAGGAUAUGUCUCAGUUAUUCUAAGGGCCAAAUUUUAUAACCUUUCCAUUAGGAAUGUCCGUUUCCAAUACCCUUUGUAUAGCCUAGGCCAGUGAGGCUGCCAAGACUGAGCCUUAUGGAUCCCAACACAGGAAUUCACCAGUUCCCAAAGGAACCGUCUCCAUGUAAUGACGCUCACACAUGCUUUUCAGAGAUUUGGCUUAUUUUAAUCAUUGGUUCUUCCUCACUGUUCAUUUAUUUGAUUUAUUCUACUAUAUCCCCUUUUAUUUGAUGAUCUGGCAAAUUCUGCUCUUUGAUAACAACUCAGUUUUUUUUUUGCCGCUUUUCAUGGAGCCCACAUUUUAAACACAAUAAAGAUUAAACAAAAUUUAUUAUAGUCAGCUCUCUUUCAUUUUAGUUUGCUACUGGCAUUUUUCUUGAAUCCUCACAUAUCUUCAUUUUUUUCUUUUUCAUUAUAGUUAUUUUUUUAACACUACCUAUAUCAAUUAGCUGCCUAAUUAGUUGUGUCUAUUCCAUGUGGAUGCAGUGAGUUUAUAAGAGAAUUUCACAAACAAGUAGUUUUUUAGUGAACUUAAACAGAAUUUUAAAGGAGACCUAUUUUUAUACUCAAUAAAAGCACAAAAGUGCAGAAAGUAUAAAAUGGCUUACAAAGGGAAACAUAGUUCAUAAUGUUCCAUGUAUAAAAGUAAUAAUUUUAUUGGGUAGAGAUACUCUUAAAAGAUUCAAUACCUCUGCCAAUGCACAGAUAGGACUGUUUUAAAAGACUUAGGAACUUGUGGUUGCCUGCAGUUGCAAACAGAGAACUACUCUGUAGAGAAAACAAACCACUAAAAGCAAUAUGAUCGAGUUGAGAUGUGGUUUCACAUGAGCAAUUGGUGAAUUGAAACAACCUGGAUGUGCAAACGUGGAGGCUUCCUUCUCAAUGUUUGAUCAAACUUCUUUUAUGUAGUCACGUAGACUUAAACGUUUUCUCUGCUGUGAAAAUGACAAAAUGAAGCAAUAUGACAAGUUCGAAAAUGUGUAAAAAAUAUUUAGGGUCCUUGAAGUGACUUUGAUGCUUAGGUUAUUUUAUUAGAUACAUUACAUUCCCUCUUCAAAAACAAAGAGCAACUGGAAAUAAUAAUAUACCUUAUAAAGAAUUUUGAUCAAAUAGAUAUUGACAAAGGGCCCUCUAACACAUUUUUCUUCAUCCAGCUUAUGUUCAAAAACAUAAUGCCCCAUCCCUUCAAUUUCAGAGGGAGAACCUUCUGUGCCAUCACCAUUCAUUUCCCAUUUCGUCUACUUUACUCUUGUACAUAUGUUGUGGGUUUAAGAGUCUUUUGCAUUUGUUUUGUGACGCCUUUUUUUGAAUGGACUGUUUUAAAAUGGAGGCCUACUUUUCCGGUUUGGGACUCCUAGUGGUUAUGGCAUCCCGCAGUGCUUCAUGAUGGCCACCAGGACACAGCCACCUGAUGUUUUAGAGCAGUUUCAGCAUGACACUGUGUACAAGUCUGUAUUUUCCAAGGCCAUAGGAAACUUACUUUCAUAGCCACUCCAGGUUUGGGAGCAGAAACGCUGAAAACCCUUUUGUUUAGAAGUCUGAGUGGCUUGUGGGGGGACCUUUUUUAGAGUUUGCAUGCCAGCGCACGACCUGACGCUGUGAAACAGAGAGAGGGGGGAGCUCCCGGAGGCCGUGCGCUGGAGGACGGUGUUUGCUAGCACUAGGGGGAAAGAGAAAAUGCAUGGGAAAGUUUCGUCUUCUCUAGACUAUCUAGCAUGCAGAGUGUAGUGUGUGGAAACAGUGUAUGACAUUGCUGUAUCAAAGUUGUAAAAUUAAGCAUUAUUUAUUGAAAACUAUGUAUUUUUUUGUAAAAACCUGAUCACAUAGAGAAUAUCAGUGGCUUGUGCUUGUGCUUCAGUGGAACCAGCCUCUUGACCCACUCUCCUUGGUAUGCAGUGUUCUUGCUCAGGGUUGAAAAGAGUAUGCCCAAAUGUCUCUUUUGCAAGAGUUUUUCACAGAGGAAUACAUUUGUUCAAAAGACUCUAAUAAAAUUGUGUGAUCGAUCUGCACUUGUGGUUUUUAUGUGACUUUUUUUCCAGUUUUGCAUUUGAUAACUGCUGUUCAAUUCCUAAAGAGUUGUCCUGCAAGCUGAUCUCACCGACAGGCUUGAGAUGCUGGGCGUCAGCCCGGAGGGGAGUGAACCCCUCGGAAUGCCCUGGGCGGGUUUGAGAGGUUUGAGCUGACGAUUGGAAGAAGCACGGUAAUGACGUCUUUCGAGAUUUUUAAUUGGCUAAUCGAGUGAAUAAAAGCAUAGACAGAGUAUAGAAGGGUAGAUUAACAUGUUUUGUCAGAAAUGCUUGAAAUAGAAAAUGAAGGAAAAAAUAUCAGAGGCAGUUGCUGCUAUUGAAUUCAAUGCCAGCAAACUCCAUUUCUCUUUUUUUUUCUAUAAACAAUUUACAGUGUAAAUGUAUUUUGACAUAGAAAUCAUUCUGUAUUGAGAUUCUUGAUAUAAAAUACUUUUAUGGAAGCCUGUAAGUGAUCCUUCGAAUUAUUAUCAGAUUUUUUAAAAGAUGUGUUUACAUGGUGAGUGUUUAUUGUAUAUUAAAUUUGGUUUUGUAGAAACGUUUGUGUUGUGUUUAACAAUUUCCAAGUGCACAGUUAACACGACCACUCAGGUUCUUAGUUAUACCAAUUUUCACUGCAAACCAAAGAACCGAUUUUAGACCUAUCUAUGGCAACUCGGUCUCAUCACUAUAUAAUAUAUUCAGUGUUUUAACUUCGUUCCUGACUAUUUUAACAUGUCUUUCACCUUGGUAGGAUUUUAUUUUUGUUUAUAUUUUGAAAGAAACAAAAAAUAGACCCUGUGUAAGUUUCACCUAGUAAAAAUAGUCCCUUGCAAUUAGCAUUAAAGGGUCCUGAAUGUGUUUCAAAUUCCUCCUGGGGCCUCCUGGGACUGUUUAUUAUACGACUUACCUUUCAAUGAUGUGGGUUUUUAAAAAUAGAAAUUAUUUUUAAUUCAAUAGUUAAAUUUAUUGAAGAGACAUGUCUGGCUAAAAUGCCCCUGGUAGGACUUUUAAGAAAACAUAAAAUGUGAAAACUUUGACUUUGCUAUUCUCCCAGCAAAUCUGAGAGUGAAAGGGAAAAAUGGUGUACCCUUCCUCCAGCGAUGGCUUUUAUAAAGUGCCAUAGAAGUAGUACACCUGGACAGAAUGUCUUGACCCGAUUAUGGAUGAUAAUAUUCUCGUUGGAAAAUACAUUGGUUCUAUCCAAAAGUAAAUGCUUUCAUGGCAAGCGUAGCUUGGUGAGUUUGAAAUAAGUGAAUCCUGAUUUUGACAUUGGUUCAAGCACAUAUGACUUCAUUAAAAAUAUGGUUCCUUUUGAUAUUUGGAGAACAGUGGGAGUGGAAGGAGGCCAUAGCAGGACAGCUCACAUCACUCUGUGUUUUGUCAUCUGAUAGGACUGAAUUGCAGAGCUCAAGUUUUGUCAUCUGUGAUCAAACUGGAUCUAAUCAUAAUAGGCAGCACAUGAGUAAAUCUGAAAAAAAUCAGAAGAUUGACCCUUUAGAUUUCUUUUUCUAUGAAAUAAUCACCAGUGUGUAUUGAGCUUGAGAUUACGUACCGUAGGUGCCAAUCAUUUGCUGCCCUCCGUAUCCCAUUCUACAGGACUUGCGAACUCCCUUUUCCAGUUGGAUUAAAUGAGCAUGCUCUGCCCAGUGCCCCUGACCAGGUGGCUGUCAACUAAAGAAGAGGUGACCCAUGACAUGGUUCUGACCAAGGAGAUGUUAGUGAAAUCUGUUCAGUGAGAGCUACAGGAAAACACCUCAACAGGGAAGGUGGGCAUGUGCCUCUCUCCAUUUGCUCUUUCCUUCCAUCUGGGAUAUAGACAUGAUGGCUGGCAUUCCAAGUGUGAGCAUGAAGCAGAGGGAAAAGGAAUUCCAGAAUCUUCAACCAGCUGCCAAAUCGUCGUCAACCACUGCCCGUGUUUGGGGUACAAGAAUGAAGAGAUUAUCCUUUAUUAACAUUUAAGGAUUGGGUUAACAGUAAUACAUGUAUAUAAUUUUAAAAAUAAUGCAUGUAUUGGGAGUGCCUGCUCAAAAAUUUUAAUGGCUAGAAUUGCAUGAUGAGACAAGAUUAGAGGCCUCUGUUCCGGAGUAGAGAAGAGAUGAUAUGCUAUAUUGUCAAGGACGGCGGGUGAAGAAGCAGAGGGGUGUCUUCCAACUCUGUUGAGUCCCCAGGUCAGCUGUGUGAUAUUAAGUAACUUACUUUGCCUCUCUGAUUCUCUGUUUUUUUGUUUGUUUGUUUAUUUGUUUGUUUUUUGGUGAGAAAGAUUGGCCCUGAGCUAACGUCUCUUGCCAAUCCUCCUCUUUCUGCUUGAGGAAGACUGGCCCUGAGCUAACGUCUGUGCCCAUCUUCCUCUAUUUUGUAUGUGGGACACCGCCGCAGUAUGGCUUGAGGAGUGGUGUAGGUCCAUGCCUGAGAUCCAAACCCGCUAACCCCAGGCCGCCGAAGUGGAGCACACUGAACUCAACCACUACGCCACUGCGCCGGCCCCCUGAUUCUCUGUUUUUCGUGCAUAAAUUGGUGGUUGAACUAGAUCAUAUUUGAGGUUCCUUUUAGGUCUAACAAAUAAUGCAAACAGCUACUAAUUCUUUACACUCAGAGUGUGGUUUGGAGGCAUGCAUAUAAACUCCUGCUCUCAGAGCCAGCAGGUGAUGUAAAUGAGGGCGAGGGUAAGACAGCCAGAUGCCUCAUGGCCUGUGGAAGCAGAGAAAGGCGAGCCCUAACAGAAGUUGUUCCCAUUCAGGACACUAAAACCCCCAGGGCCAAACCAAAUGGCCAUUGGCCCCAUGUUUUGUUUUGUUGUUUGGGGGCCAGUCUGUGGUUUUGAAGGCCCUGCUUACUCUGCUCCAAGAGAGAACUGCUGUGUCAUACUUCAUAAAGGGAGAGAACAGAAGCAAUUAUUUUUCAGGCCAAUAAAUUCUCAAACUCAGGUUUGAUAUAAUUUUUUGAAAGAGAAUUUUUUUUAUAUUGCCAUUUCAGUUGACAAACUUCUUUAACUGAGAAAACAUAAACAUAUUUUAGCUUUAAUAUAGAUACCGGAACAUUUCCUGAAACACGAAUCUGCUUUCCAAACUAACCAAACAAACAUCACAAUCACACAAUCAAAAAUACAGACUUCUGGGCCCAUUUCCCAAAAUACUGAUUCAGUGUGUUUGGAAUGAGACCCAGAAUCUAUGUUUUUAUCACUGUGUCCAGCUGAUUCUGAGGCUCUUGGGCCACAGGCCAGCUUCUGAGACCCAUGGCCCUAAAUCAGUGAGAGAAUCACAAAAGACAAAAAUCGUUUUGCCAAAAUUCAGCGUCUCAGUGUCAAGUAGUAAGAUUUCCAUUAAUAAACACACCCUGUCUUUCUGCCUCUUUUCUGUGGCCAUGCUUCUUCUGUGAAAUUUUAUGGAGUGUUGAGUGUUGAGCACACAGCUGCAAGAUGAUGCUCACCUUCAGGGUCUUCGUGGUCAGCUGAGCAAGAAGCCGCCUGCCAUGUUCACCACACACCGAGAGCUGUGGCUGAGGGCUCCAUUGACAAUUGCAGGUGAGAUGUUACUGUGGAAAGGAGCCUGGCCUGAGAACAAGAGUGCUAAUCACGAUGGAGCGCUUACUGGAGGAAGCCGUGUAGCCUGGUGGGCGCAAGGCAGCACAGAUCAUCAAAUGGCAGCACCAGCACCCAAACCCAGACCUUCUCAGGUCGAGAGCCUGUCUGCUUCGCCACUGUGCCAGUCUCUGACCCUAAUCAAUAAUCUGGCUGUUGUGAUGACAUUACUUCCUUCUGGAAAACUCUCUGCUGCUGCUGUAUUGUUUUGGGCUUGUGACUUUUAAGUUCUUAACAAGCUUUUGUGGAAUGAAUGAAUGAACUGGGAAAUACCAUAUCUCCUCUCAUUUACACAGAAUAAAUCUCUUGGGAAAAGAGGGUUGGGGUUUGCUUUAUAUCUGAGAGGAGAUGCUGUUGAGUGACUUACCGAACUGCCAGGGAUGUAUGCCUUCAGCGGUGUGAUUGUUAAUUACGCUGACAACUGUGGGCCACAGCACUUUGUUUUAUAGGAAAAGCCAUCAAGAACUUUUAGAGACAAUAUUAAGGAACCCAGAGUGGACCCUGGGACGGUUAAUUUUCAUGUCAACUCGACUGGGCUAAAGGAUGCCCGGAGAGCUGGUAAAACAUUAUUUCUGAGUAUGUCUGUGAGGGUGUUUCUGGAAGAGAUGAGCAUUUGGAUCAGUAGACUGAGUAAAGAAGAGCAUCCUCACCAGUGCAGGUGGGCAUCGUGCAAUCCUUUGAGGGCUCCAAGAGAAUAAAAAUGUGGAGGAAGUUUGGAUUCACUCUCUGUCUGACUGCGUGAGCUGGAAUGUUCCUCUUCUGCCCUCGGAUGUCGGAGCUCCUGGUUCUUGGGCCUUUGGACUUGGGGACUUGCACCCAAGUUCUCUCUGGUUCUCAGGCCUUCGGCUUCAGACUGAAUUAAAGCACCAGCUUUCCUGGUUCUCCAGCUGCAGUUGGCGGAUUGUAGCAUUCUCAGCCUCCAUAAUCUCCUGAGCCAAUUCCCAUGAUAAAUCUCUUAUAUCUCGCUCUAUCCUAUUGGUUCUGUUUCUCUGGAGAGCCCUGACUAAUACAGGCCUCCAAUCAUAUUUCUAAAGCCUACGGGCCGGCCCCGUGGCUUAGUGGUUAAGUGCGCAUGCUCCGCUGCUGGCGUCCCGGGUUCUGAUCCCGGGAGCGCACCGACGCACCGCUUCUCCGGCCAUGCUGAGGCCGCGUCCCACGUACAGCAACUAGAAGCAUGUGCAGCUAUGACAUACAACUAUGUACUGGGGCUUUGGGGGAAAAAAUAAAUAAGUAAAAAAAAAAAAAAAAAUUAUUAAAGCCUAAAUACCCAGAAUGACUUUUCUCCUACUUCCAGCUAGUUCCAUUCUUGAAAACUCUCAACUAUGUAAAAUAUAUUACUUGAUACAGAAUCAGCAAAUAAUAUUAAUUAUUAAGAAAAAUAUUUGGUAAUUUUUCUUAGUAGCUUAAGCUUGAUUUUUUUUUUUUUCCUGAGAGGUAAGACUUAAAAUCAGCUAAGGAAAGAAAGCAACUAUGGCUUUAUUUCAGUGACGACUGGUAGUUCUAUUUGCUUUGAUUUUUUUUUCUUUUUAUGUUGGUUAUUUUUCUUUUAGUUUGUAAAGUCUUCUAAUAGUCUUCAGAAUGAAAGAUACCAUGUAAUGAGUCUUAUUAUUAUAUUUAAUGCAUUUUUGUAGUUAACGUUUUAAAAACAAAACAUAUAAAAAUCAUUCAUUUCAUUUCCUAGAUGGAAAAAUAUAAACAU
This is a long non-coding RNA of Diceros bicornis minor, 12052 nucleotides long. RefSeq lists it as uncharacterized. The record is from RefSeq and is a predicted model, not a curated record. The transcript is spliced from 5 exons. NCBI's taxonomy places the organism in Eukaryota, Metazoa, Chordata, Mammalia, Perissodactyla, Rhinocerotidae.